This 448-nucleotide long non-coding RNA is filed under the name Rattus norvegicus (Norway rat). RNAcentral's name for it is "long non-coding RNA NONRATT023626". Lineage: Eukaryota; Metazoa; Chordata; Mammalia; Rodentia; Muridae. The record is from RNAcentral.
CCACCAUAGGGUCCACACGGGAGAGAAGCCCUACAAGUGCCCGGAGUGUGGAAAGUUCUUCAGAGACCGGUCCAACCUCAUCACCCACCAGAGAAUUCACACAGGAGAGAAGCCGUAUAAGUGCAGAGAGUGUGGAAAGUGCUUUAACCAGAGUUCCAGUCUCAAUAUUCACCAGAGGAUCCACACCGGGGAGAAACCCUACAAGUGCACAGAAUGUGGCAAAGACUUCAACAACAGCUCCCACUUCAGUGCCCACCGCAGAACCCAUACGGGAGGGAAAGCUCCUCCCAACUGAAGAGCAAUAAUAUGUAUCUAUACCUCCCAUGUUUCUAAAACAUGCUAAAAGAAACCUUCCUAUGUUUAAGCUUGGUGUAAACUUAAAAGAUGCCAUCUUGGUAAAACUCCAGUAAUUUGGAGAUGAAUUACAACUACUAAGGAUUGAAGUUUG